Molecule: long non-coding RNA, 435 nt
Filed under: Nicotiana benthamiana
Lineage: Eukaryota; Viridiplantae; Streptophyta; Magnoliopsida; Solanales; Solanaceae
Description: long non-coding RNA (NBEN_LNC036895)
Source: RNAcentral
GAAUGAAACAAGUGCUCCCAAAAACACGGAGGGGAACAUAGUAUAAGGGUGACUGGGGAAACAAUACCUCAUACGGAAUUUGAUUCUGGAUGGGAGAUGAAGGAGGGGGAACAGAGUAUAAGGGUGACUGGGAAAAUAAUUCCUCAUAUGGAAUCUGAUUCUGGAUAGGAGAUGAAGGCAUCCGAUUAACCAAAUAACAAGAUGUGAGAACUGCAUCGCCCCAAAAACGCAGCGGUACAUGAGAUUCAAUGAGAAGUGUGCGAGCAAUCUCAAUAAUGUGCCUAUUCUUUCUCUCUGCAACCCCAUUUUGCUGAGGGUAUAAGGACAAGAGGUCUGAUGAAUUAUUCCGUGAGAAGUCAUAAACUGCUGAAAUUGAGAGGAUAAAUAUUCUAAGGCAUUAUCACUCCGAAGAGUGCGAAUAGAAACACCAAAUUG